RNAcentral lists this ribosomal RNA (440 nucleotides) under uncultured bacterium. RNAcentral's name for it is "partial 16S ribosomal RNA". It matches the Rfam family "Bacterial small subunit ribosomal RNA", at positions 338 to 795 of the family's 1533-position model. The record is from RNAcentral.
CCUACGGGUGGCAGCAGUGGGGGAUAUUGCACAAUGGGGGGAACCCUGAUGCAGCGACGCCGCGUGGGUGAAGAAGCGCCUCGGCGCGUAAAGCUCUGUCAGCAGGGAAGAAAAUGACGGUACCUGAAGAAGAAGCCCCGGCUAACUACGUGCCAGCAGCCGCGGUAAUACGUAGGGGGCAAGCGUUAUCCGGAUUUACUGGGUGUAAAGGGGGCGCAGGCGGGGAUGCAAGCCAGGAGUGAAAGCCCGGGGCUCAACGCCGGGACUGCUGUUGGAACUGCGUGGCUGGAGUGCAGGAGGGGCAGGCGGAAUUCCUGGUGUAGCGGGGAAAUGCGUAGAUAUCAGGAGGAACACCAGUGGCGAAGGCGGCCUGCUGGAAUGCAACUGACGUUGAGGCGCGAAAGCGUGGGGAGCAAACAGGAUUAGAUACCCCAGUAGUC